GGUCCCACAACCCAAUAUCCAAUAAUGAAUCACGUUGAUUUCUCCGGUCUCCACGAUCCAACACCGACACCUCGCUCGCAUGGCCGCAUCCGCCCACCCCCGAACACAUCGGGAUUUCUCCCCCACACCUCACCCGCGUCCGCCCGCAACCCACCGAGCACAUCGGCGCCGGAGCUCCCCCCUCUCAUCCGCCGAAUCGGCACCGUGGGCGCAGCGCCACCCCACUUGGCGUAGCCCUCUCCCUGUCGCAGCGGCGGCUCCUCCACCUUCCCGACGAGGCGGCGGCUCCUUCACCUUCCUGGCGGCGUCGGUGGCCAGCCCUCCGCCUCCCCGCCCUGAUCUGCGUCCCCACGGGCGCGGCGGCACGACCAACCGGCGGGCACGGCGGCCCCUUGCUGUGCGUGGCUUCCCAUCCCCAACCAGUGGUGGAUGGGGCUUGAGGCGACGGUGUGGCUCGCCCUGCGCCCCACAGCUCCUUCCCCGGUGACGGCGGAGCGUCGUUCUCUCUUCCGGUGCCAUUCUCGAGUUCAUGUUCUACUCAUGUUUUCUGAAAAUCAACCUUACCAGAUUACACUUUUUUGGUUCGUAUUCAGAUUCAGGAACCUGUUAGUUGUUUCAGUGUGCAUGGUUUUAGCAAUUUUAUUAAUAGUCUCAGAACCAAUAUUCUAAAUGAUACCGUAUUUUAGAUCAAGCACAAUACAUGCUGCUGUUCAUGCUACUUAAUUCUUGUAACUUUGUUUGUCGUAAAUCAGAGAGGUAUUUACGAUAUUUUUUUACCUGAAUCAGAGUCACGAAUUUAGGAAGACUAUCGAUUUCUUAUGGUAAUUUCUUGAUUAACUAUUCAUCAGUCACUUAGUUAAUUCCAUUUGUCUGAUUAGCCAUCUGGGUUUUGGUAGCUGUUUGUGACUCCCGAAGGUUGAAAUAUUGUUUAUUAUUACAGAUCUAUUGGCCACAUUAGCUAGAGUGUGAAGGUUUGUAGAUCCUAUUGAUUUUAGGUUGUGUUAGCUGGCUGUUUUUUUAAACCAAAAUUUAUUGAAUGUCAGAUCCUUUGAUUUUGUAUUCUUUAUGAACAGAGUACAAAGGUAGUAGUAUAGUUAGAAUAGAUUAUAGUGAUUCAUAUAUAAAGGACAUAAAUAUAUUGUAAUAUAUCGAUAUCAUCUGAGAAAUUUUUUUGGCUAGUCCCUAACUAAAUUAUUGAUUCAAAUUACUGUAAUUACUUAACAGCCUAUUGUACUCCUGAUUUGAGUAGCAUCAGAAUACCAUGACCCUAAAUUCUGGUAGCUCCCUAUCUUCAUUAUGGUAAUUUUGAUCAUCCUUAUUAAUUUUUAUCGUCAACCAUAGUCGAAAAUUUACGUAAAUACUUAUAUUCAUAAUACCCAUUUGGUACCAGUGUAAGUUAUGUCGUGAAUACCUCAAAGGCUCGAUCCGCACUGCUCCAAGCUUCCGACGAACAGUUUGUGAAGAAAAACUUAUGCAGCCUAUCCAGGUGAGAAAGGCAUUUGAACAAAUAUUAGGCUAUGUCUGCUUGACUUCAUUAUAUUUGAGGACAACUAUUAAUAUGUGUUCUGCAUCAACUUCAAUUUGACCACCGGCCAUUGGUCAUGCAUCUGGGGAUGCUUAUGCCGCUGCAAAAUAGGCAUCCAGAUCCAGUAGGGAUGCUUAUGCUGGCGCACAGGAUUUUGAUUCGUGUCAUGGUUCAAAAUAUAUGGGGACAGUGUCUUGUAUGAUUUACACUUCUAUUUUGUUAUGAUGGAAAAAUGUAUCAAUGUACAUGUCUUUGGAAAGACAUAUUAUGGUUGUUUCAAAAUUUUCUUUAAACAGAUUUCAAAUUGU
Long non-coding RNA from Sorghum bicolor (sorghum), 1833 nucleotides. RefSeq lists it as uncharacterized. Lineage: Eukaryota; Viridiplantae; Streptophyta; Magnoliopsida; Poales; Poaceae. The record is from RefSeq and is a predicted model, not a curated record. The transcript has 2 exons.